GGAUGGAGAGGAGGCCGAUGGGGAGAUCGGAGCCUGUGCCUGCUGUUGGCAAUGGGUUGAAUAGCAGCCGCCGCCACCACCAGGAGGAAAAAUAAAAUUUCUAGCGUUUUCAGGAUGGGUUUGUGGUUUUAUACCGGUGAGAGAUGUUUGUGGGCUAGUUUUGAUGUUGGGCUGGGCCAAAAAUUCAAAUGGGACUGAACUUUUUUGACCGGUUUGGUUUUGUCUUGGGUCGUCUUGAACUGGACAAAUU
Molecule: long non-coding RNA, 250 nt
Filed under: Setaria viridis
Lineage: Eukaryota; Viridiplantae; Streptophyta; Magnoliopsida; Poales; Poaceae
Description: long non-coding RNA (SVIR_LNC009556)
Source: RNAcentral